GAUGAACGCUGACAGAAUGCUUAACACAUGCAAGUCUUUGGCGAAGCUGUGCUUGCACAGCCUAGCCAAGGCGGACGGGUGAGUAACGCGUAAGGAACUUGCCCUGCAGUCAGGGAUAACAGACGGAAACGACUGAUAAGACCUGGUAAAGUCAGGCGGACUCAUGUCCAGCCUGAUGAAAAGAGAUGCUGCAGGAGAGCCUUGCGUCCUAUUAGCUUGUUGGUGGGGUAACGGCCCACCAAGGCGAUGAUAGGUAGCCGGCCUGAGAGGGUGGACGGCCACAAGGGGACUGAGAUACGGCCCUUACUCCUACGGGAGGCAGCAGUGGGGAAUAUUGGACAAUGGGGGCAACCCUGAUCCAGCAAUUCUGUGUGCACGAUGAAGGUUUUCGGAUUGUAAAGUGCUUUCAGCAGGGAAGAAAAAAAUGACGGUACCGGCAGAAGAAACGACGGCUAAAUACGU
RNAcentral lists this ribosomal RNA (462 nucleotides) under uncultured bacterium. RNAcentral describes it as "partial 16S ribosomal RNA". It matches the Rfam family "Bacterial small subunit ribosomal RNA", at positions 28 to 506 of the family's 1533-position model. The record is from RNAcentral.